This 496-nucleotide ribosomal RNA is filed under the name uncultured bacterium. RNAcentral describes it as "partial 16S ribosomal RNA". It matches the Rfam family "Bacterial small subunit ribosomal RNA", at positions 28 to 507 of the family's 1533-position model. The record is from RNAcentral.
GAUGAACGCUGGCGGCGUGCCUAAUACAUGCAAGUCGAGCGAACGGACGAGAAGCUUGCUUCUCUGAUGUUAGCGGCGGACGGGUGAGUAACACGUGGAUAACCUACCUAUAAGACUGGGAUAACUUCGGGAAACCGGAGCUAAUACCGGAUGAUAUUUUGAACCGCAUGGUUCAAAGUGAAAGACGGUCUUGCUGUCACUUAUAGAUGGAUCCGCGCUGCAUUAGCUAGUUGGUAAGGUAACGGCUUACCAAGGCAACGAUGCAUAGCCGACCUGAGAGGGUGAUCGGCCACACUGGAACUGAGACACGGUCCAGACUCCUACGGGAGGCAGCAGUAGGGAAUCUUCCGCAAUGGGCGAAAGCCUGACGGAGCAACGCCGCGUGAGUGAUGAAGGUCUUCGGAUCGUAAAACUCUGUUAUUAGGGAAGAACAUAUGUGUAAGUAACUGUGCACAUCUUGACGGUACCUAAUCAGAAAGCCACGGCUAACUACGUG